This 289-nucleotide signal recognition particle RNA is filed under the name Castor canadensis (American beaver). RNAcentral's name for it is "Metazoan signal recognition particle RNA (ENSCCNG00000007096.1)". It matches the Rfam family "Metazoan signal recognition particle RNA". Rfam says of the family: The signal recognition particle (SRP) is a universally conserved ribonucleoprotein. It is involved in the co-translational targeting of proteins to membranes. Lineage: Eukaryota; Metazoa; Chordata; Mammalia; Rodentia; Castoridae. The record is from RNAcentral.
GCCGGGCGUGGUGGCGCGCGGCUGUAGUCCUAGCUACUCGGGAGGCUGAGGCAGGAGGAUCGCUUGAGUCCAGGAGUUCUGGGCUGCAGUGCGCUAUGCCGAUCGGGUGUCCGCACUAAGUUCGGCAUCAAUAUGGUGACCUCCCGGGAGCGGGAGACCACCAGGUUGCCUAAGGAGGGGUGAACCGACCCAGGUCGGAAACGGAGCAGGUCAAAACUCCCGUGCUGAUCAAUUUAUUGAGUCUAAAAUGGUAAAAAGUCCCAAUGACUCUCCAGUUUUCCCACCCUCC